Molecule: ribosomal RNA, 496 nt
Filed under: uncultured bacterium
Lineage: Bacteria
Description: bacterial SSU rRNA
Rfam family: Bacterial small subunit ribosomal RNA
Source: RNAcentral
GCUCAGAACGAACGCUGGCGGCGCGUUUUAAGCAUGCAAGUCGAACGGUAGAGAAACUUCGGUUUCUUGAGAGUGGCGAACGGGUGAGUAACACGUAGAUGAUCUGCCUUGAAGUUGGGGAUAGCCUAUAGAAAUAUAGGGUAAUACCGAAUAAUUUUUUACCACUAUGGUGGUUUAAGGAAAGGGGGCUUCGGCCUCGCUUUAAGAUGAGUCUGCGGUCUAUUAGCUAGUUGGUAGGGUAAUAGCCUACCAAGGCGACGAUAGAUAGCCGGCCUGAGAGGGUGACCGGCCACAUUGGGACUGAGACACGGCCCAAACUCCUACGGGAGGCAGCAGCUAAGAAUCUUCCGCAAUGGGCGAAAGCCUGACGGAGCGACGCCGCGUGGACGAAGAAUGCCGAGAGGUUGUAAAGUCCUUUUAUUUGCGAAGAAUAAUGCCUGUAGGUAAUGACAGGCAGAUGACGUUAGCUUAUGAAUAAGCUCCGGCCAAUUACGUG